Molecule: long non-coding RNA, 913 nt
Filed under: Homo sapiens (human)
Lineage: Eukaryota; Metazoa; Chordata; Mammalia; Primates; Hominidae
Description: HSALNT0396242
Source: RNAcentral
UUUCUUUCUUUCUUUUUUGAGACAGAAUUUCACUCUAUAGCCCAGGCUGGAGUGCAGUGGUACGAUCUUGGCUUACUGCAACCUCUGCCUCCCAGCCGGGUUCAAGCAAUUCUCCUGCCUUAGCCUCCCAAGUAGCUGGGACCACAGGCGCCCACCACCACACCAGGCUAAUUUUUAUAUUUUUUAAGUAGAGACGGGGUUUCACCAUGUUGGCCAGGCUGGUCUGGAACUCCUGACCUCAGGUGAUCCGCCCGCCUCAGCCUCCUAAAGUGCUGGGAUUACAGGCGUGAGCCACCGUGUCCGGACUGUAUGUUUUUUUAAGAUUCAGAUUUUAACACAUUUAUUUUAAAAAGAUCCUUUCUAUCACCACAAAAUUCACAAUUCUUUCCAGAACUAUGAAUGUAGGCAGUGCUCCCUCAGGGUGGCUCCCAAAGUCCUCCCUCUCCCAGGCCUGACUCGUGGCCCUCAUGGUGGUGAGGGUUCCCCAUUACCAAAUCUGUUCUGCUCUCACUCCUCUAAGUUGCUGUAUCUUGUUUUCCAGAACCCUCUUCACCCGUGGUUAAACCCUCCCUAACCCUGAGCUCGUGCUCCCCUCCCGGUGGACGCAGACCUGACCACAGAAGCCCUGCAGCACUCACUGGGGGCUUGAGGGAGCCCCUGAGUCCCCUCCACCCUCGCCGCCUUCUCCUGGGUACCCAGGAAACGUCUCCAAGGGAGGCUGUGACCCAGGACCCCGCCUCGACCUCACCUUCUUCUGUAAGGCGCAGUGAAAGACGAAGAUGAAGACCCCCUGGAAGGCGUUGAAGGUGGUGAAGAGAUAGGCCAUGACCACCGACUCCUUGUUGAUGAAGAGGAGGCCGAAAGCCCAGUGAGAGCCUCGAAGAUGUAAUCACAGAGAGAGAGAGAGAGAGAG